Molecule: ribosomal RNA, 557 nt
Filed under: uncultured eukaryote
Lineage: Eukaryota
Description: SSU rRNA
Rfam family: Eukaryotic small subunit ribosomal RNA
Source: RNAcentral
UGGUUGAUCCUGCCAGUAGUCAUAUGCUUGUCUCAAAGAUUAAGCCAUGCAUGUCUAAGUAUAAGCAAUCUAUACGGUGAAACUGCGAAUGGCUCAUUAAAUCAGUUAUCGUUUAUUUGAUAGUACCUUACUACUUGGAUAACCGUGGUAAUUCUAGAGCUAAUACAUGCUAAAAACCUCGACUUCGGAAGGGGUGUAUUUAUUAGAUAAAAAACCAAUGCCCUUCGGGGCUCCUUGGUGAUUCAUAAUAACUUAACGAAUCGCAUGGCCUUGUGCCGGCGAUGGUUCAUUCAAAUUUCUGCCCUAUCAACUUUCGAUGGUAGGAUAGUGGCCUACCAUGGUUUCAACGGGUAACGGGGAAUUAGGGUUCUAUUCCGGAGAGGGAGCCUGAGAAACGGCUACCACAUCCAAGGAAGGCAGCAGGCGCGCAAAUUACCCAAUCCCGACACGGGGAGGUAGUGACAAUAAAUACUGAUACAGGGCUCUUUUGGGUCUUGUAAUUGGAAUGAGUACAAUUUAAAUCCCUUAACGAGGAACAAUUGGAGGGCAAGUCUGGU